This 253-nucleotide ribosomal RNA is filed under the name uncultured bacterium. RNAcentral describes it as "partial 16S ribosomal RNA". It matches the Rfam family "Bacterial small subunit ribosomal RNA", at positions 524 to 776 of the family's 1533-position model. The record is from RNAcentral.
UACGAAGGGGGCUAGCGUUGUUCGGAUUUACUGGGCGUAAAGCGCACGUAGGCGGCUUGUUAAGUCAGAGGUGAAAUCCCAGGGCUCAACCCUGGAACUGCCUUUGAUACUGGCAAGCUCGAGUAUGGUAGAGGUUGGUGGAACUCCGAGUGUAGAGGUGAAAUUCGUAGAUAUUCGGAAGAACACCAGUGGCGAAGGCGGCCAACUGGACCAUUACUGACGCUGAGGUGCGAAAGCGUGGGGAGCAAACAGG